UACGAAGGGGGCUAGCGUUGUUCGGAUUUACUGGGCGUAAAGCGCACGUAGGCGGAUUUUUAAGUCAGGGGUGAAAUCCCGGGGCUCAACCCCGGAACUGCCUUUGAUACUGGAAGUCCUGAGUAUGGUAGAGGUGAGUGGAAAUUCCGAGUGUAGAGGUGAAAUUCGUAGAUAUUCGGAGGAACACCAGUGGCGAAGGCGGCUCACUGGACCAUUACUGACGCUGAGGUGCGAAAGCGUGGGGAGCAAACAGG
Molecule: ribosomal RNA, 254 nt
Filed under: uncultured bacterium
Lineage: Bacteria
Description: partial 16S ribosomal RNA
Rfam family: Bacterial small subunit ribosomal RNA
Source: RNAcentral